Long non-coding RNA from Passer domesticus (house sparrow), 288 nucleotides. RefSeq lists it as uncharacterized. The transcript has 3 exons. The record is from RefSeq and is a predicted model, not a curated record. Lineage: Eukaryota; Metazoa; Chordata; Aves; Passeriformes; Passeridae.
AGCAUUGCAAGCCCUGUGAAUACAGCUGAAGCUGUAUUAUGAACCUGUUUAGGAAGGGACAAGAAAGGACUACAGGGAAUACUGAUGCUAUGGGAAAUGCUGUAGCAGACGUUCACAUGGUAAACAGGAAAGAUUUUAUUCACAUUCUUUCAACUGGAACAUGUACCAAGAGACAAUCUUUGUCAUCAUUUUCAGUCAAGUCAGCCAAUAUAAAAUGUACCAUGGGAAAACUGGAGUGGAACAGUAUUCCUAUUGCAGAUGGGAAGGCUUUUUGUCAGGGACUCAUGA